Non-coding RNA from Cavia porcellus (domestic guinea pig), 74 nucleotides. NCBI's taxonomy places the organism in Eukaryota, Metazoa, Chordata, Mammalia, Rodentia, Caviidae. The record is from Rfam.
GGAGAUUUAGCUCAGUGGCAUAAGCACCUGCCUUGCAAGCAGGUGGUUGUGAGUUCGAUCCCCAGUACUGUUUA